AGCUAAAAAACAGAUAUGUACCUAUUCAACAUGAGUACUUUAGUUUAUAAUAGCUGGGAUGGUAAAGAUUAGCCACAACUAUUCCAAUCUACAAUUCCCAUAGUGUUCAGCCACUAAUGGCUGGCUGUUUAUUAUGCGAGCUGUAGUCAACCACAAAAGGUUAGUGUGCAAUGUAGUGGCCACAAGCCCAGUCUAUAACUAGCAAGUUCAGCUAGUCGUAUGGCUGGCUGAAUAUUAUUUUAGAUGCACUCAACAAAUAUUGGUGCUUUUACUGUAGACUAAGUGUAGUGUCCCCACCUGUCAUACAGCCCCAUCAACAGUAAG
Non-coding RNA from Pelobates cultripes (western spadefoot toad), 324 nucleotides. The record is from the annotation of a GenBank genome assembly. NCBI's taxonomy places the organism in Eukaryota, Metazoa, Chordata, Amphibia, Anura, Pelobatidae.